RNAcentral lists this ribosomal RNA (21 nucleotides) under Gymnopus nubicola. RNAcentral describes it as "partial 18S ribosomal RNA". The record is from RNAcentral. Lineage: Eukaryota; Fungi; Basidiomycota; Agaricomycetes; Agaricales; Omphalotaceae.
AACCUGGRGGUUGGAUCAUUA